Oreochromis niloticus (Nile tilapia) is the source of this 2450-nucleotide long non-coding RNA. RefSeq lists it as uncharacterized. NCBI's taxonomy places the organism in Eukaryota, Metazoa, Chordata, Actinopteri, Cichliformes, Cichlidae. The transcript has 3 exons. The record is from RefSeq and is a predicted model, not a curated record.
AACAUGGAGGAGGAAGUGUGAUGGUCUGGGGCUGUUUGCUGGAUCCAGGGUCGGUGACUUGUACAGAGUGAGAGGCUCCCUGAACCAAAACAGCUACCACAGCAUUCUGCAGCACCAUGCAGUACCCUCUGGUAUGGACCUAGUUUGUCAGGGGUUUUAUCUGCCAAAGGUGGCUCCAUCGAUGAGUCCAAAGUUUAGAACACAUUUUGGUCUAUAGACUGAUUCCAUGAUUUCUUUUUUUUUUGUUGGUUGAACAGGACAGGCGCCUGAUAGCUGAAAGAUCUGCCUCUCAUUGCACUUUUAGAAACUCAAGUAGGCUUGCAAUCUGAAUUUGAAGUGCUCUAUUGUAAUGCUAUCAGGUCAUGGUAUUACACUAUGGGAUAAAUUAAUACUAUAAGGUCAUUAAAAUAUAGUGGAACCUGGUCAUUCAGGACUUUGUAUGUGAAGUUUAUCAAUAUUGAACAAAGGACAUGCUAGACAUGUGAAGACUCCUUGUUUAUGUUAACAAACUUGAAUCUGUCAGAGACCACUGUAGUUUAUUCCUUUAAUAUGAAGUUGCUGUAGUAAAAAGUUGCACUCACCAAUUGAUGUACUCAGGGGGACAAACACACAGACAGUCCACUGUCAGAGGCUUAGGAGGCCGGCAGCAUCACAAGGUAAGGAAUGUUUAACUCAUGGUUAAACAUCUUUGAAGCCUGUGAUAUACAGCCUAUUGAAAAAAUGAACUGGUCACAUUUAAAACUGAAACAUUAAUUAAUGAUUGACAUCUUCAGCAUCAUUCCUGCCAAGCUGUCAAGAUCUGAACCUAAAACAGGUCGCUGGUCACAUGGUGGAUUUUACAGGGUUAAUAAUUUGUGAUGAUUAUGAUUAACGUCCUGUAAGAGGUAAAUUGUGUCAGAGUAAAUGAUGUUUGGGCUUUCCUGAUUUCGGGGACUUCUGCCUGAUUGUUGUUGUCAUGAACACGUCUCAGGUUAAGUGCAGUUUAUUUACAGUGUGCGACAAUCAUUACUUACACAGCGGUGACGAUCCCAGGCUCCCACACAGGCACGUGCGGCUCUCCGACAGUUUCCAAAAACCAGAAGGCAAGAAUCUAGGUGACGUCCCGGCAUUGCACAAAACCCAGCGCACCGUAUACACACACAGACAGUAAGAUAGGAGAGAAAUGGCGGUUCCACACAGUGACGACUGAGGGAUGAUGAGAGCUGAAUUGACUUUAUUUUUCCCACCAAAGGUUUCAAGCAUGCAUUUUUCCGCCUCCUGUCUCAUUUGUCUCUCCUCAAAGGACCUACAGUUCCUGUUAGCAAGUUCCAUGCUGGAAGUGGGAAUGAUUUGAUGCUUGGUGCUUUCAGGGGCUCGGAGCUUUCAAGAUAAUGUGUUAUUCUGACAAAUGGAAGUCUGCAAAGUGCAGCACAUGUGAGCCUGUCUUUUGUCUCGUCUUCCUCCCCUCACCCCAACUGGAAGUGCAGAUGGCUGCCACCCCCUGAGCCUGGCUCUGCUGGAGUUUUUUUACUGUUAAAACAAAGUUUUUGAAGAACAGGAUCAGGUCUGGCACCACUCACAGUUGAGUUUUCAACUUUCGGGACAUGAAGACAGCAACAAAUUGUCAAUAAAAAGGAGUCUUUGCCAUCUUAUUGCAGUAGCUAUUGGUUUGCAACUGAAUUGGAUCAAGUUUGUCAAAAUGUGACAAUAAAUUGUGAUAAACAAAUUCAGUUGUUGAUGCCUGUUGCAGAUAUGUUGUUGUCUACAUGUACAGACAUUCACAUUGGCUUCUUAUAUUGAGCCAGAAUCUCAUAUUCUUAAAACAGAAUUUCUUCCAAAAACAGUGACAUAGCUGCAGGAUGACAGGUAUUUUCAAACCUUUGCCAACCUGUCUGAGAAUAACUGCAGUCAGUCCGAGCCAGAUCACAGUUGUUGGACACUAUUUGUCUCUGUAGAUAUAUGAAGCAUGGACGUAGCGCCCAGGUCGAUGUGGAAGUGCUGUAAACCUGCAUUGUAUCUGGCAAUAGCUGUGGUUGCAUAAAAACCUCUGGUUCUGUAGAGGUCUAUGGGAAAGCUGCUUUCUGUCCUGACCUCUGUCAAUACUUUCCUGCUUAGUUGCUGGGCUUGGUCCCUUGUUUUGGGUCAUACUGAAUACAAACUAAAGUCUGUGGUGUAAAUAUCGAUCCUUCCCUUUAUCUGUGGGAUUAUCUGUGGUAUGAAGCAACAUGCUCACUGGCUAACAAACUGUCAGUCAUAAGUAAAUAGUUGCGUGUAGUUUCACAGUCAGACCCAACCCAGCUUAUCACAUCUGUUUUUUAACCAAGAUUGUGAAAGCGGAAAAGCAGCUCUCAAGAACCCAGUAGUUACAUCCAUCUGUUAUACUGUUUGUCAUUUCAUCUUGAAGAAGAACAGCUCACGAAUGAACUAUGAGGAACUUAGGCUACGUUCACACUGCAGGUCUUAAUGCUCAC